GAAGAAUGUUAGACACAUUGAUUAAUUAUUGAAAUAACUCACUAUUUCUAUAUCAUGGCAGCUAAGGCAAUAACGGUAUGCAUCUUCGUUCUCUUAUGCAUCAGCUCUAUUAGUACCUCACCUGCUCCUGCAUUUGCUGAUAACACAAGUAAUCAAAUCAUAGCCAGCGGGGAAGUUUCUUUAAUUGCAUUAAAUGAAAACACUAAUAACGGACACAUAGAGCUUAAUCACAAUCAAAACAAUAUUGAAAAAUAAUUCAAUUGUUUAUGUUUCGGGCAAUUAAAUAAAUUUGAUGCUGUUUAAUAUUUA
This is a long non-coding RNA of Danaus plexippus (monarch butterfly), 309 nucleotides long. RefSeq lists it as uncharacterized. The transcript has 2 exons. Lineage: Eukaryota; Metazoa; Arthropoda; Insecta; Lepidoptera; Nymphalidae. The record is from RefSeq and is a predicted model, not a curated record.